GACGAACCGUGCGAACGUUGUUCGGAAUCACUGGGCUUAAAGGGCGCGUAGGCGGCCCGCCGCGUCCGGGGUGAAAUCCUCCCGCUCAACGGGAGAACGGCCUCGGAUACGGGCGGGCUGGAGGCGGGUAGGGGCAGGCGGAACUGUGGGUGGAGCGGUGAAAUGCGUAGAUAUUGCUCGGAAGGCCAGAGCCGAAGGGGCCCUACUGGUACGUAACUGACACUGAGGCACGAAAGCGUGGGGAGCAAACAGG
Molecule: ribosomal RNA, 253 nt
Filed under: uncultured bacterium
Lineage: Bacteria
Description: partial 16S ribosomal RNA
Rfam family: Bacterial small subunit ribosomal RNA
Source: RNAcentral